This 994-nucleotide long non-coding RNA is filed under the name Salvia miltiorrhiza (redroot sage). RNAcentral describes it as "long non-coding RNA (SMIL_LNC001595)". Lineage: Eukaryota; Viridiplantae; Streptophyta; Magnoliopsida; Lamiales; Lamiaceae. The record is from RNAcentral.
GCCGCGAUUCAUUUACGAACUCCUUUACGCAUUUCUCAUUAUUCAUUUAUAAAUGACUUAAAUAAGCAUUUUAAACUCCAUUAAAAAGGAAUUGAUUUAAAACAUUUUAAUCCUUUUAAAAUCCAUACUCAUAAAGCCUUAACUCAUGCUCUAUCUCAUAUUCUAUCUCUUUACUCAACUUUAUAUAAACUCUCCACUCAUCUCAAAUCCUUAAGUUCAAGGAUAGGUUUCAAGAAAAUCAUGGUACUAAGUCUCGAUUUAUCUCUCAUAUAAGGCUCGUCUAAUCUCAUUCAACACAUAGACAACACAAUCACAUAAGGCACAUAAGAAAACACAAUCAAACAUUAUCAAAACAUGCUCUGUUUUUACACUGACUCAACUUCAAAAUCUAACCUGUUCUUACUCCGACACCUCCUGGACUCGAGACUCAUACCAAAAGAAAGGUCAUCGAGUCUAUUUUCAUAUAAAAAAAAGUAGAGUCAAAAACUCGAAGUAUUGUAGGAGAUAUGACUGUUUUACUACAGUCUACCAUAUUCGGCAGUUUUGAGCAAUCGAAAACUUGGAUUUUUGAAAAAUAGUAAAUGUUGUCAAACUGGGCUCACAUUUUGUGGAUAUCUAGCUAACACAAUAAGGUUAAUACCAUAAAAUUUUGGAAAGCUAGAUCACACAGGAAGCUACUGAAAUGAAUGACUCUUUCCCCUGCUCUCUGAAACUCUCGGUAGUAAUAUGCAGUUUCAGUUUUGUAUUUUAUAAAAAUAGUAAAUGAAGUCCAAAUGACUUGAAAUUUUACCGAUGUUCUCAAGACUCAUGUAGAGACUUGGUAUAAAAUUUUCAAAGCUUUUUGACAUUGAAAAACCGUCGAUCACAGUAGGUCAGUAGGCCUACGAAAUUCACCAAAAUCUCAUCUCAAACUCUUAAAAUACUCAACUCAACAUUCCUUCAAGGAAACUCAUCAAAGCUCAUUUUAAACACAUAUAACACUCACAAACAUUCA